RNAcentral lists this ribosomal RNA (141 nucleotides) under uncultured bacterium. Its description in RNAcentral is "partial 16S rRNA". It matches the Rfam family "Bacterial small subunit ribosomal RNA", at positions 355 to 511 of the family's 1533-position model. The record is from RNAcentral.
UGGGGAAUUUUCCGCAAUGGGCGAAAGCCUGACGGAGCAAUGCCGCGUGGAGGUGGAAGGCCUACGGGUCGUCAACUUCUUUUCUCGGAGAAGAAACAAUGACGGUAUCUGAGGAAUAAGCAUCGGCUAACUCUGUGCCCG